GGACUACUUGAAGCGCAAAACUCUUGGUGCAACUCAGGGGCUCAUUGACGUCAUGCUAAGGUAAGGCCACAAAUGCAUGAUGCACAAGACUCAGACACUAAAAAGACCAUGACUUUUGUCCUACCUAUCACUCCCCGAAAAAGCUGAACUCACCAGUCUUCUGUCAGAAGACUGGUGAGCAAAAAAGUUCACAAACUUCUGAAAGAGCUCAGCAGUUGCCAAUUAGAAUGUUCAUGGAGUAGUGCUACCUGUCUUGCAAGUACCAUAGACUACGCCACCAUCCUAGAGAAACGAAUCAGUGCAUUCUGAAAUCUCCGCUGCUGAUUGUUCUGUCAUGGAUUGGCUAGACUAUGAAAACUACCUACUUGCCGACCUCGCUGACCUUAAUGCAGUAUCGGUUAAGUGCUACACUACUUAUGCCAAAGGCCAAUGAAAGUCACUGCCAAGCAUACUUUCCGUAUACAUAACCUCCCCAAUGAAGUUUAUCUUGGUGGAGAAUCCUGCCCUGUCAGACCAUAUCGAUCUCUCCGGGAUCUGGAUUGUAAGAUAGCGGGAGAGAGGAAGGGGUGUAUAAUGACCUGGAUGGGGAUUCGGAAUGGAUAUUGUUGACAGCAAACCAAUUGUGGUGGCUUUCAUAACGCAUUUUAUAGGGACUUACAAGUUCGAGUCUGAGGGAGCAGUCCUCAGAUUCAAACUUCACUGAGUAAUUACCUGGGUGGGUGAUUAGGAAUGGAUAGAGUUGACAGCAAACAUCGAUGAGGGGGUAGUAGUAGCAGUGGAUGAAUUCAUGAUCAAAGGAAGGGCAGGGGUCGGGAAAAAAGAGAACUCAAAUUUAAAUAAGCUAGUUCAUAAAGGGUAAGCCUUAAUGCCCCUAAUAGGGGUACAAAAUCUUCAUUAUUGGCCAUGGUGAGCUUGAAAAAUAUGGGGCUGAGGGGAAGAGAAACGAUCUACCCCUUAGGGUCCCCAUAAGGGGUCAGGGCUAUGAGACUAACGAACGGUUCCAGGAGGCCGUUCAGGACUGACACAAAGCCAGUCCUUCAACCUUUCAGCAUGUCUCUCACACAUUAGGAAGGGGAAAGAAGGGAUUGAAGACAAGAGGGAAAAGAAAAGACCAUGCAGAAUUAGUUGAGGCAAGGGCUGAGGUUCACAGUUGGGGGUGAUGCCCUACAUUAGUCCUGUCUCCGUCUCCUAUGCCUCCCCUCCACCACCAACAAUAACGCACAUUGGUUGGAGGGAAACAUUAGCAAUAUCUAGAAGCAAUAUUAUUCCAAUACUCCUUCCUGGUGCAAACAUUAUUUUUUCUUUCCACAUCUUCAACCUUGGGCCUGUCUCAUCGAGGAUAUUUUCCUUUUUUAUAUUGUAAAUAUAGUGUAUUCAGCAUAAUCUAUUA
Penaeus vannamei (Pacific white shrimp) is the source of this 1390-nucleotide long non-coding RNA. RefSeq lists it as uncharacterized. Lineage: Eukaryota; Metazoa; Arthropoda; Malacostraca; Decapoda; Penaeidae. The record is from RefSeq and is a predicted model, not a curated record.